GAUGAACGCUGGCGGCGUGCCUAAUACAUGCAAGUCGAGCGAACAGACGAGGAGCUUGCUCCUCUGACGUUAGCGGCGGACGGGUGAGUAACACGUGGAUAACCUACCUAUAAGACUGGGAUAACUUCGGGAAACCGGAGCUAAUACCGGAUAAUAUAUUGAACCGCAUGGUUCAAUAGUGAAAGACGGUUUUGCUGUCACUUAUAGAUGGAUCCGCGCCGCAUUAGCUAGUUGGUAAGGUAACGGCUUACCAAGGCGACGACGCGUAGCCGACCUGAGAGGGUGAUCGGCCACACUGGAACUGAGACACGGUCCAGACUCCUACGGGAGGCAGCAGUAGGGAAUCUUCCGCAAUGGGCGAAAGCCUGACGGAGCAACGCCGCGUGAGUGAUGAAGGUCUUCGGAUCGUAAAACUCUGUUAUUAGGGAAGAACAAAUGUGUAAGUAACUAUGCACGUCUUGACGGUACCUAAUCAGAAAGCCACGGCUAACUACGU
Molecule: ribosomal RNA, 496 nt
Filed under: uncultured bacterium
Lineage: Bacteria
Description: partial 16S ribosomal RNA
Rfam family: Bacterial small subunit ribosomal RNA
Source: RNAcentral